This 376-nucleotide ribosomal RNA is filed under the name uncultured bacterium. RNAcentral's name for it is "bacterial SSU rRNA". It matches the Rfam family "Bacterial small subunit ribosomal RNA", at positions 28 to 416 of the family's 1533-position model. The record is from RNAcentral.
GACGAACGCUGGCGGCGCGCUUUACGCAUGCAAGUCGCACGGACCUUCGGGUUAGUGGCGGACGGCUGAGUAACGCGUAGGCAAUCUGCCCAGUGGUGGGGGAUAACCUGUCGAAAGGCGGGCUAAGACCGCAUGUGCUCACCGGGUGAAACUCCCGGUGUGGAAAACAGCAAUGUGCCACUGGAGGAGCCUGCGUCCUAUCAGGUAGUUGGUGGGGUAACGGCCUACCAAGCCGAUGACGGGUAGCUGGUCUGAGAGGUCGACCAGCCAGAAGGGGACUGAGACACGGCCCCUACUCCUACGGGAGGCAGCAGCGAGGAAUCUUGGGCAAUGGGCGAAAGCCUGACCCAGCGACGCCGCGUGAGGGAUGAAGGCC